RNAcentral lists this ribosomal RNA (440 nucleotides) under uncultured bacterium. RNAcentral's name for it is "partial 16S ribosomal RNA". It matches the Rfam family "Bacterial small subunit ribosomal RNA", at positions 338 to 795 of the family's 1533-position model. The record is from RNAcentral.
CCUACGGGAGGCAGCAGUGGGGAAUAUUGCACAAUGGGGGAAACCCUGAUGCAGCAACGCCGCGUGAGUGAAGAAGUAUUUCGGUAUGUAAAGCUCUAUCAGCAGGGAGGAAGAUGACGGUACCUGAUCCAGAAGCCGCGGCCAUCUACGUGACAGAAGCCGGGGUAAUAUGUAGGGGGCAGAGGUUAUCCGGAUUUACUGGGCGUAAAGGGAGGGCAGACGGCAGUGCAAGUCUGGAGGGAAAGCCCGGGGCCCAACCCCGGAACUGCCGUGGAAACUGUGCGGCUAGAGAACUGGAGGGGCAGGCGGAAUGCGUAGUGUAGCGGUGAAAUGCUUAGAUAUUAGGAAGAACACCAGUGGCGAAGGCGGCCUGCUGGACAGUAACUGACGUUGAGGCUCGAAAGCGUGGGGAGCAAACAGGAUUAGAUACCCGAGUAGUC